CUACAAAGGAAUUGACGGGGACCCGCACAAGCAGCGGAGCGUGUGGUUAAUUCGAUGCUACACGAAGAACCUUACCAGGGUUUGACAUGCAAGUGGUAGUGAGCCGAAAGGUAAACGACCCCUCGGGGAGCUUGCACAGGUGCUGCAUGGCUGUCGUCAGCUCGUGCCGUGAGGUGUUAGGUUAAGUCCUGCAACGAGCGCAACCCUCGUCGCUAGUUAUUUUUCUCUAGCGAUACUGCCCGUAUAACGUGGAGGAAGGUGGGGAUGACGUCAAGUCAGCAUGGCCCUUACAUCCUGGGCUACACACACGCUACAAUGGGUGAUACAACAGGUUGCAAUAGAGUAAUCUGGAGCUAAUCCCCAAAAUCAUCCUCAGUACGGAUUGCAGGCUGCAACUGCCUGCAUGAAGUUGGAGUUGCUAGUAAACGCAGGUCAGCACACUGCGUUGAAUACGUUCUCGGGCCUU
This 466-nucleotide ribosomal RNA is filed under the name uncultured Chloroflexota bacterium. RNAcentral describes it as "bacterial SSU rRNA". It matches the Rfam family "Bacterial small subunit ribosomal RNA", at positions 903 to 1382 of the family's 1533-position model. Lineage: Bacteria; Bacillati; Chloroflexota. The record is from RNAcentral.